GCGAACAGUCUCCGGGCUCCUCCCCUGUGAGAUAUUUCACAGUUUCACCCGCAGAGGGCAAUCUUAUUCCAAGUUCCUGAGCGCCCUAGGCCUCUCUCUCCUCCCUAACUGGUGAGGUGGGACUUCGUCAUCUUCCAGGUUUACAGUGUUUUCCUCCUCAUGAAUUCUGUUUCCUCCCGGUCUCAGGCACUCGGCAUUUCCAGUCGAUCCAGCAGGUUUCUCCCCUACAAAGCCUGCUUGCUGCAGGAUACGAGAGUUCAGUCACUCCUUGGGAACUGUCUGCAGGUGAAAACAUUUUGGCUUAUUGCUCCCCUUUCUGGAAAGUCCUUUCCCUUCCUCUCUGCCUUAUGA
Molecule: long non-coding RNA, 351 nt
Filed under: Piliocolobus tephrosceles (Ugandan red Colobus)
Lineage: Eukaryota; Metazoa; Chordata; Mammalia; Primates; Cercopithecidae
Description: lncRNA (ENSPTEG00000033878.1)
Source: RNAcentral